This 568-nucleotide ribosomal RNA is filed under the name uncultured bacterium. Its description in RNAcentral is "bacterial SSU rRNA". It matches the Rfam family "Bacterial small subunit ribosomal RNA", at positions 820 to 1394 of the family's 1533-position model. The record is from RNAcentral.
GUGUCGGGGGUCGAACCUCGGUGCCGCAGUUAACACAAUAAGUAUUCCGCCUGGGGAGUACGAUCGCAAGAUUAAAACUCAAAGGAAUUGACGGGGGCCCGCACAAGCAGCGGAGCAUGUGGUUUAAUUCGAAGCAACGCGAAGAACCUUACCUAGACUUGACAUCCCCUGCAUAACCCAGAGAUGGGCGAAGUCCUUCGGGACAGGGUGACAGGUGGUGCAUGGUUGUCGUCAGCUCGUGUCGUGAGAUGUUGGGUUAAGUCCCGCAACGAGCGCAACCCUUAUCAUUAGUUGCUACCAUUUAGUUGAGCACUCUACUGAGACUGCCCGGGUUAACCGGGAGGAAGGUGGGGAUGACGUCAAAUCAUCAUGCCCCUUAUGUCUAGGGCUACACACGUGCUACAAUGGUGAGUACAAAGAGAUGCAAGACCGCAAGGUGGAGCCAAACUCAAAAACUCAUCCCAGUUCGGAUUGUAGGCUGCAACUCGCCUACAUGAAGCCGGAGUUGCUAGUAAUCGCGAAUCAGCAUGUCGCGGUGAAUACGUUCCCGGGCCUUGUACACACCGCC